This 286-nucleotide long non-coding RNA is filed under the name Lathyrus oleraceus (garden pea). Its description in RNAcentral is "Pisum sativum (pea) long non-coding RNA (PSAT_LNC038192)". The record is from RNAcentral. Lineage: Eukaryota; Viridiplantae; Streptophyta; Magnoliopsida; Fabales; Fabaceae.
UAUGUGAGGAGGCAUCUGUAAGUCCCUGUAAGUUGGCAUUUGCUUUUCCUAUGAUCACAUGUUGCUUUGAUUGUUUGUAUGUGAGGAUACAACUGUAAGUCCCUGCAAGUUGGCAUUUGCUUUCCUAUGAUCAUAUGUUGGAUAUUGGUAUAAGUCCAGACAGAUUGGCAUCCGGUAUCCAAGUUUCUUUUUGUUUUAGGAGAUUAGUGUAAGACCAUUGAGUGGCAUCUGAUAUCCAGUUUUAUUUUAGGAGAUUGGUGUAAAUCCAUCUAUUGGUAUCCGGUAU